GGCCCUACGGGAGGCAGCAGUGGGGAAUAUUGGGCAAUGGGCGCAAGCCUGACCCAGCAACGCCGCGUGAAGGAAGAAGGCUUUCGGGUUGUAAACUUCUUUUCUGGGGGACGAACAAAUGACGGUACCCCAGGAAUAAGCCACGGCUAACUACGUGCCAGCAGCCGCGGUAAUACGUAGGGAGCAAGCGUUGUCCGGAAUUACUGGGUGUAAAGGGAGCGUAGGCGGGGAUGCAAGUUGGGGGUCAAAACUACCGGCUCAACCGAUAGUC
RNAcentral lists this ribosomal RNA (271 nucleotides) under uncultured bacterium. RNAcentral describes it as "partial 16S ribosomal RNA". It matches the Rfam family "Bacterial small subunit ribosomal RNA", at positions 334 to 621 of the family's 1533-position model. The record is from RNAcentral.